CUUGUAUGAGUGACGUGCUCAUACCUGUGUCCUUCUUGGCAUCUUCAUAUAUUUUUUCCUUUCAGUUUCUGUGAACAUCUCACACAAUCUGGAGCACCAUCCAAGCAAUAAUCUCAGACUGUCAUUGUGAGCACGCUGGCUUCAUUCCAAUCUGUAAGAGUUAGGAUCUCUCCAGUGGCAAUUUCUGCUUCUGUUCAGGUUGCCUCACAGUAAAGCCAGGUCUUAACUGGAGUUUUGUAAAGAUUUUCAUGAAUAAUUAAAAAUGGAAGUCUAAACAUUUCAUGUGCAGGGAUUUGUGUAUAAUUAUUAUAAUAAAGACAAUGACCCAAGGUCUUAGAGUCGAAUGAAGAACACAGAGAAUUUCAACAGCUUAUUCGUGGUCUUGGCUGCGCUUGGGAAAUUUAAUCCCCCCUUUUAAAAAAGGUGAUAUAUGGGAUAGAUGUUCUUGAAGAUGGUGGAUAAAGAUAAUUUUUUUAAAAAAGAA
This 484-nucleotide long non-coding RNA is filed under the name Pan troglodytes (chimpanzee). Its description in RNAcentral is "long non-coding RNA NONPTRT013386". Lineage: Eukaryota; Metazoa; Chordata; Mammalia; Primates; Hominidae. The record is from RNAcentral.